RNAcentral lists this ribosomal RNA (497 nucleotides) under uncultured bacterium. RNAcentral describes it as "partial 16S ribosomal RNA". It matches the Rfam family "Bacterial small subunit ribosomal RNA", at positions 28 to 507 of the family's 1533-position model. The record is from RNAcentral.
GAUGAACGCUGGCGGCGUGCCUAAUACAUGCAAGUCGAGCGAACAGAUGAGGAGCUUGCUCCUCUGACGUUAGCGGCGGACGGGUGAGUAACACGUGGAUAACCUACCUAUAAGACUGGUAUAACUUCGGGAAACCGGAGCUAAUACCGGAUAAUAUAUUGAACCGCAUGGUUCAAUAGUGAAAGACGGUUUUGCUGUCACUUAUCGAUGGAUCCGCGCCGCAUUAGCUAGUUGUUAAGGUAACGGCUUACCAAGGCAACGAUGCGUAGCCGACCGGGGAGGGUGAUCGGCCACACUGGAACUGAGACACGGUCAAGACUCCUACGGGAGGCAGCAGUAGGGAAUCUUCCGCAAUGGGCGAAAGCCUUACGGAGCAACGCCGCGUGAGUGAUGAAGGUCUUCGGAUCGGAAAACUCUGUUAUUAGGGAAGAACAAAUGUGUAAGUAACUAUGCACGUCUUGACGGUACCUAAUCAGAAAGCCACGGCUAACUACGUG